This 305-nucleotide unclassified non-coding RNA is filed under the name uncultured Gymnoascus. RNAcentral's name for it is "sequence contains ITS1". The stretch from base 1 to 105 matches the Rfam family "5.8S ribosomal RNA", at positions 50 to 154 of the family's 154-position model. The record is from RNAcentral. Lineage: Eukaryota; Fungi; Ascomycota; Eurotiomycetes; Onygenales; Gymnoascaceae.
GAAAUGCGAUAAGUAAUGUGAAUUGCAGAAUUCCGUGAAUCAUCGAAUCUUUGAACGCACAUUGCGCCCUCUGGUAUUCCGGGGGGCAUGCCUGUCCGAGCGUCAUUGCAACCCUCAAGCACGGCUUGUGUGAUAGAUCGCCGUCCCCCGUGGCCGGGCCCGAAAGGCAGUGGCGGCGUCGCGGUUAUCCGAUCGCCGGGUGUAUGGGGCUCUGUCACGCUCCACGGCCUGGACCGGCGCCCGCGGACUCUCAACUACUUUCUUAGGUUGUCCUCGGAUCAGGUAGGGAUACCCGCUGAUCGUAA